RNAcentral lists this long non-coding RNA (337 nucleotides) under Ananas comosus (pineapple). RNAcentral's name for it is "long non-coding RNA (ACOM_LNC032961)". The record is from RNAcentral. Lineage: Eukaryota; Viridiplantae; Streptophyta; Magnoliopsida; Poales; Bromeliaceae.
AAUAGAAUUUCUAACUAAGUACAAAUCUCAAAUUAAAAAUUGAGAUUUUAGCACCUACUCUUUUAAUUUAUUUAAUUUCAGUAAUUUGAGCGCUCUUUAGAUGCAAAAUUUAAACUAAUGAAUUUAUAGUUAUGUGAACUGUGUAAAAUAUAUUAAUUAAAUCCGUAAAAAUAAAUGACCCAUUCAAAUUUUAAAAUUGAACAGUCGCUAACUGUUUCAAAUUAAAUAAAUUAAAUGGUCAGAUAGUAAAAUCAAAAUUUUUAAAGGUUAAGUAGUUAUUUGAUAUAGUUGAGUGAAAAAAAAGGGGCUUAAGUCAAUUAAAUAAUAGUUGAGGGGU